CUCUACAGCCAUGCUACCCUGAACAAGCCCGAUCCCUCUGAUCUCGGAAGCUAAGUAGGGUUGGGCCUGGUUAGUACUUGGAUGAGAGACCACCUAGGAAGACCAGAUGCUAUAGGCA
RNAcentral lists this ribosomal RNA (118 nucleotides) under Pteropus alecto (black flying fox). Lineage: Eukaryota; Metazoa; Chordata; Mammalia; Chiroptera; Pteropodidae. The record is from RNAcentral.